GAUGAACGCUGGCGGUAUGCCUAACACAUGCAAGUCGUACGGGAGUUUUUAACUCCAGUGGCGGACGGGUGAGUAACACGUAAGAAUUUACCUUUAGGAGGGGGAUAACAACUGGAAACGGCAGCUAAGUCUCCAUAUGCCGAGAGGUGAAGUAGUUUACACUGCCUAAGGAAAAGCUCGCGCCUGAUUAGCUUGUUGGUGAGGUAACGGCUUACCAAGGCCACGAUCAGUAGCUGGUUUGAGAGAACGAUCAGCCACACUGGGACUGAGACACGGCCCAGACUCCUCCGGGAGGCAGCAGUGAGGAAUUUUCCGCAAUGGGCGAAAGCCUGACGGAGCAAUACCGCGUGAGGGAUGAAGGAUUUUGGUCUGUAAACCUCUUUUCUCAAGAAAGAAGUUCUGACGGUACUUGAGGAAUAAGCAUCGGCUAACUCCGUGCCAGCAGCCGCGGUAAUACGGGGGAUGCAAGCGUUAUCCGGAAUCAUUGGGCGUAAAGCGCCUGUAGGUUGUUUAAUAAGUCCGUUGUUAAAGACUAGGGCUUAACCCUAGGAAAGCGAUGGAAACUGAUAGACUUGAGUAUGGCAGGGGUAGAGGGAAUUUCUAGUGUAGCGGUGAAAUGCGUAGAUAUUAGAAAGAACACCGGUGGCGAAAGCGCCCUACUGGACCAUUACUGACACUGAGAGGCGAAAGCUAGGGGAGCGAAAGGGAUUAGAUACCCCUGUAGUCCUAGCCGUAAACGAUGGAUACUAGAUGUUGUGCAAUUUGGACAGUAUCGUAGCUAACGCGUUAAGUAUCCCGCCUGGGGAGUACGCUCGCAAGGGUGAAACUCAAAGGAAUUGACGGGGGCCCGCACAAGCGGUGGAGCAUGUGGUUUAAUUCGAAGAUACGCGCAGAACCUUACCAACACUUGACAUGUUCGUCGCGACUUUAAGAGAUUAAAGUUUUCGGUUCGGCCGGACGAAACACAGGUGCUGCAUGGCUGUCGUCAGCUCGUGUCGUGAGAUGUUGGGUUAAGUCCCGCAACGAGCGCAACCCUCACUUUUAGUUGCCAUCAUUCAGUUGGGCACUCUGAAAGAACUGCCAGUGAUAAGCUGGAGGAAGGUGGGGAUGACGUCAAGUCCUCAUGGCCCUUACGUGUUGGGCUACACACGUGCUACAAUGGCAUUUACAAUAGGAAGCAAGAUGGCGACAUCGAGCAAAUCCUAAAAAGAUGCCUCAGUUCGGAUUGUACUCUGCAACUCGAGUACAUGAAGCUGGAAUUACUAGUAAUCGCGGAUCAGCGCGCCGCGGUGAAUACGUUCCCGGGUCUU
Molecule: ribosomal RNA, 1310 nt
Filed under: uncultured prokaryote
Description: partial 16S ribosomal RNA
Rfam family: Bacterial small subunit ribosomal RNA
Source: RNAcentral